GACGAACGCUGGCGGCGUGCCUAAUACAUGCAAGUAGAACGCACAGUUUAUACCGUAGCUUGCUACACCAUAGACUGUGAGUUGCGAACGGGUGAGUAACGCGUAGGUAACCUGCCUGGUAGCGGGGGAUAACUAUUGGAAACGAUAGCUAAUACCGCAUAAUAUUGAUUAUUGCAUGAUAAUUGAUUGAAAGAUGCUAUUGCAUCACUACCAGAUGGACCUGCGUUGUAUUAGCUAGUAGGUGAGGUAACGGCUCACCUAGGCGACGAUACAUAGCCGACCAGAGAGGGUGAUCGGCCACACUGGGACUGAGGCACGGCCCAGACUCCUACGGGUGGCAGCAGUAGGGAAUCUUCGGCAAUGGAAGAAAGUCUGACCGAGCAACGCCGCGUGAGUGAAGAAGGUUUUCGGAUCGUAAAGCUCUGUUGUAAGAGAAGAACGGGUGUGAGAGUGGAAAGUUCACACUGUGACGGUAUCUUACCAGAAAGGGACGGCUAACUACGUG
This 505-nucleotide ribosomal RNA is filed under the name uncultured bacterium. Its description in RNAcentral is "partial 16S ribosomal RNA". It matches the Rfam family "Bacterial small subunit ribosomal RNA", at positions 28 to 507 of the family's 1533-position model. The record is from RNAcentral.